RNAcentral lists this ribosomal RNA (527 nucleotides) under Bradyrhizobium sp. RNAcentral's name for it is "bacterial SSU rRNA". It matches the Rfam family "Bacterial small subunit ribosomal RNA", at positions 221 to 765 of the family's 1533-position model. The record is from RNAcentral. Lineage: Bacteria; Pseudomonadati; Pseudomonadota; Alphaproteobacteria; Hyphomicrobiales; Nitrobacteraceae.
AAAGAUCGGCCCGCGUCUGAUUAGCUAGUUGGUGAGGUAAUGGCUCACCAAGGCGACGAUCAGUAGCUGGUCUGAGAGGAUGAUCAGCCACAUUGGGACUGAGACACGGCCCAAACUCCUACGGGAGGCAGCAGUGGGGAAUAUUGGACAAUGGGCGCAAGCCUGAUCCAGCCAUGCCGCGUGAGUGAUGAAGGCCCUAGGGUUGUAAAGCUCUUUUGUGCGGGAAGAUAAUGACGGUACCGCAAGAAUAAGCCCCGGCUAACUUCGUGCCAGCAGCCGCGGUAAUACGAAGGGGGCUAGCGUUGCUCGGAAUCACUGGGCGUAAAGGGUGCGUAGGCGGGUCUUUAAGUCAGGGGUGAAAUCCUGGAGCUCAACUCCAGAACUGCCUUUGAUACUGAAGAUCUUGAGUUCGGGAGAGGUGAGUGGAACUGCGAGUGUAGAGGUGAAAUUCGUAGAUAUUCGCAAGAACACCAGUGGCGAAGGCGGCUCACUGGCCCGAUACUGACGCUGAGGCACGAAAGCGUGGG